RNAcentral lists this ribosomal RNA (267 nucleotides) under uncultured archaeon. RNAcentral describes it as "partial 16S ribosomal RNA". It matches the Rfam family "Archaeal small subunit ribosomal RNA", at positions 717 to 982 of the family's 1478-position model. The record is from RNAcentral.
ACACGACUACAUUAGAUACCCCCUGUAGUCCUAGCCGUAAACGAUACUCGCUAGGUGUCGGCCACGGUGCGACCGUUGUCGGUGCCGUAGGGAAGCCGUGAAGCGAGCCACCGUGGGAAGUACGGCCGCAAGGCUGAAACUUAAAGGAAUUGGCGGGGGAGCACAACAACGGGUGGAGCUUGCGGUUUAAUUGGACUCAACGCCGGGAAGCUCACCGGAUAAGACAGCGGAAUGAUUGCCGGGCUGAAGACCCUGCAUGACCAGCUG